AUUAGAGUGGCAGAACCAGGUAAUUGCAAAAGACCUAAAACCUUUAAUUGAGAGUUCAAGUCUCUCCCCUAAUU
RNAcentral lists this transfer RNA (74 nucleotides) under Plethodon petraeus (Pigeon Mountain salamander). RNAcentral's name for it is "tRNA-Leu". It matches the Rfam family "tRNA". Rfam says of the family: Transfer RNA (tRNA) molecules are approximately 80 nucleotides in length. Their secondary structure includes four short double-helical elements and three loops (D, anti-codon, and T loops). Further hydrogen bonds mediate the characteristic L-shaped molecular structure. tRNAs have two regions of fundamental functional importance: the anti-codon, which is responsible for specific mRNA codon recognition, and the 3' end, to which the tRNAs corresponding amino acid is attached (by aminoacyl-tRNA synthetases). tRNAs cope with the degeneracy of the genetic code in two manners: having more than one tRNA (with a specific anti-codon) for a particular amino acid; and 'wobble' base-pairing, i.e. permitting non-standard base-pairing at the 3rd anti-codon position. Lineage: Eukaryota; Metazoa; Chordata; Amphibia; Caudata; Plethodontidae. The record is from RNAcentral.